RNAcentral lists this ribosomal RNA (406 nucleotides) under uncultured bacterium. RNAcentral describes it as "partial 16S ribosomal RNA". It matches the Rfam family "Bacterial small subunit ribosomal RNA", at positions 29 to 526 of the family's 1533-position model. The record is from RNAcentral.
ACGAACGCUGGCGGCUGCUUAACACAUGCAAGUCGAACGGAGUGGCGAACGGGUGAGUAACGCGUGAGCAACCUGCCUAUGACAGUGGGAUAGCCUCGGGAAACCGGGAUUAAUACCGCAUAGUCAUAGAUGGGCUCGCGUCUGAUUAGCUAGUUGGUGAGAUAACAGCCCACCAAGGCGACGAUCAGUAGCCGGUCUGAGAGGAUGAACGGCCACAUUGGAACUGAGACACGGUCCAAACUCCUACGGGAGGCAGCAGUGGGGAAUAUUGCACAAUGGGGGAAACCCUGAUGCAGCGACGCCGCGUGCGGGAUGACGGCCUUCGGGUUGUAAACCGCUUUCAGCCAUGACGCGGUAGUGGCAGAAGAAGCACCGGCUAACUACGUGCCAGCAGCCGCGGUAAUAC